RNAcentral lists this ribosomal RNA (445 nucleotides) under uncultured bacterium. RNAcentral's name for it is "bacterial SSU rRNA". It matches the Rfam family "Bacterial small subunit ribosomal RNA", at positions 330 to 792 of the family's 1533-position model. The record is from RNAcentral.
UCCAGACUCCUACGGGAGGCAGCAGUGGGGAAUAUUGCACAAUGGGGGAAACCCUGAUGCAGCGACGCCGCGUGAGUGAAGAAGUAUUUCGGUAUGUAAAGCUCUAUCAGCAGGGAAGAUAAUGACGGUACCUGACUAAGAAGCCCCGGCUAACUAUGUGCCAGCAGCCGCGGUAAUACGUAGGGGGCAAGCGUUAUCCGGAUUUACUGGGUGUAAAGGGAGCGUAGGUGGCAGGACAAGUCAGAUGUGAAAGCCCGGGGCUCAACCCCGGGAGUGCAUUUGAAACUGUCCAGCUGGAGUGCAGGAGAGGUAAGCGGAAUUCCUAGUGUAGCGGUGAAAUGCAUAGAUAUUAGGAGGAACACCAGUGGCGAAGGCGGCUUACUGGACUGUAACUGACGCUGAGGCUCGAAAGCGUGGGGAGCAAACAGGAUUAGAUACCCGGGUA